RNAcentral lists this transfer RNA (76 nucleotides) under Calothrix sp. NIES-2098. RNAcentral's name for it is "tRNA-Asn". It matches the Rfam family "tRNA". From Rfam's summary of the family: Transfer RNA (tRNA) molecules are approximately 80 nucleotides in length. Their secondary structure includes four short double-helical elements and three loops (D, anti-codon, and T loops). Further hydrogen bonds mediate the characteristic L-shaped molecular structure. tRNAs have two regions of fundamental functional importance: the anti-codon, which is responsible for specific mRNA codon recognition, and the 3' end, to which the tRNAs corresponding amino acid is attached (by aminoacyl-tRNA synthetases). tRNAs cope with the degeneracy of the genetic code in two manners: having more than one tRNA (with a specific anti-codon) for a particular amino acid; and 'wobble' base-pairing, i.e. permitting non-standard base-pairing at the 3rd anti-codon position. The record is from RNAcentral. Lineage: Bacteria; Bacillati; Cyanobacteriota; Cyanophyceae; Nostocales; Calotrichaceae.
UGCCCCAUAGCUCAAUUGGCAGAGCAAGCGGCUGUUAACCGCGAGGUUGUAGGUUCGAGUCCUACUGGGGCAGCCA